RNAcentral lists this ribosomal RNA (497 nucleotides) under uncultured bacterium. RNAcentral's name for it is "partial 16S ribosomal RNA". It matches the Rfam family "Bacterial small subunit ribosomal RNA", at positions 28 to 507 of the family's 1533-position model. The record is from RNAcentral.
GAUGAACGCUGGCGGCGUGCCUAAUACAUGCAAGUCGAGCGAACGGACGAUAAUCUUGCUUCUCUGAUGUUAGCGGAGGACGGGUGAGUAACGCGUGUAAACCCUCCUUGACAUUCGGGUAAAAUUUGGGAAAACGGGCUCAUACCCCGUAUAAGCUUUUGAUCCAUGGGGUGCGAAGGAAAAAUUCGGCGUUUCGGGCUCUUAUCGCGGGUUCCCCGCUGCUUUGGCUGGUUGGUAGGUUAACGGCUUACCAAGGCAAGGAGGCAUAGCCGAACUGCGAGGGGGAUCGGCGACACUGGAAGUGAGACACGGUCCAGAGUCCUACGGGAGGCAGCAGUAGGGAAUCUGCCGCAAUGGGCGAAAGCAUGACGGAGCAACGGCGCGUGAGUGAUGAAGGUCUUGGGAUCGUAAAAAUCUGUUACUAGGGAAGAACAUAUGUGUAAGGAACUGUGCACAUAGUGACGGUAACUAAUCAGAAAGCACCGGCUAACUACGUG